GCCGGGUGCGGUGGCAUGUGCCUGUAAUCCAAGUCACUGGGAGGCUGAGGUUGGUGGAUCAAGUGAGCUGAGGAGCUCUGGGCUGCAGCACGCUAUGUCGAACGGGUGUCCACGCUAAGUUCGGUAUCGAUAUGGUGUUCCUGGGGGAGCCCGGACCACCAGGUUGUCUAAGGAGGGGUGAACCGGCCCAGGUCGGAAACGAAGCAGGUCAAAUCCCCCGUGCUGUCCAGUAGUGGGAUAAUACCUGUGAGUAGAUGCUGCAGUGCAGCCUUGGCAAAACAUCGAGACCUAAUCUUUU
RNAcentral lists this signal recognition particle RNA (298 nucleotides) under Oncorhynchus mykiss (rainbow trout). RNAcentral's name for it is "Metazoan signal recognition particle RNA (ENSOMYG00000068481.1)". It matches the Rfam family "Metazoan signal recognition particle RNA". Rfam says of the family: The signal recognition particle (SRP) is a universally conserved ribonucleoprotein. It is involved in the co-translational targeting of proteins to membranes. The record is from RNAcentral. Lineage: Eukaryota; Metazoa; Chordata; Actinopteri; Salmoniformes; Salmonidae.